AAAGAACCGACCCGAGCCCCUCGAUCCCCUUUCUUCGACCCGUGCCCGAACCCUAGCUAUUUUGUCGGCAGCUGUGGCGACGCAGGCGGCAGCGGCGGUCGGUGGGAGCGCAGCGCCGCAGCGGUCGGCGGCGCACAGCGGCGGCGGCGCACCAAGAUCUACUCUCUUGCUGCCGCAGAGCCCUGGCUCAUAGUAGAGUGGCGGCUGGAGACGAGAAGAAGCUCCAAAUCAAGGGCUGUGAGAUGGAUCCUCUAGAAUUUCUGCCCAUACGAUUUCAUUUCGGUGGUCACUUUGUGAACGAUGGGCAGUAUGUACACUAUGCUGAUGGCGUUGUCGGGAUGUCAUAUUUGGAGCGAGACAAAGUGUCACUGCCGGAGAUAGUUGGUUUUUUGAAGGAAGAUCAUUGGAAGGAUUUGAAGGAUGAUGAAGUGCAGUUCCACUGUCUAUAUCCUGGGAAAGAACUGCAUGAUGGGCUUGAUUUGUUGCAUGAUGAUGCGUCCUGUUUGCACAUGGUUUCUGCAAUCGAAGAGAAUGGAGUAGCUGAAGUAUAUGUAGAGAACAUUGCUGAAUAUCAUAUAUUGGCACGUGCUCUGCCAUCAGAUGAAGAAGAGGGUAAAAAUGAGCUGGAACAAAUUGUCCCACUGGAGCAAGUAACAACAGAAGUGGUACAGCAUCCGCGCCGGCAGCCGAAGAUGAUACAGAUGAAGAAGAUAGUGACUAUGUUCCUGGAGAUGAGAGUCCUUGGGAAGAAGAUGAAGAAGGAAUCGAGAUAAACAAGAAAUAUGUAGAGUACAAGAAGAAGAUGAAGCAAGGCAACACAGUGCACAACAGAGUGCACAACAAAGUAGACAACACAGUGCUACUGCACACAAGGAAAAUGUUGUGCCUUCUCAACAGAGUACCCGUGUUGCAGGAACAUCCAGAGGGACAAAGAGACCAGUACCCAUGUCCAAACCUCCUAAGCCUGCUGUCCAAGGGAAAGGGAACAAUAUUCAGAAGAACAAGUCCUCCUCAAAGGCUGCAAUGAAAGGUGUCACUGUCAAUGUGAGUUCUAGCUCAGGUGUCACUGUCAAAUGUGAAAUCAGGAAGUGCUAAUUCACAGUUCAAGGCGCCUGGAAGGGAGGCAAAAAGGACAAGGAAAUUACCCACAAGGCUGCUGGACUGAGUGUACUACUAUGUGUACUGUGAUGCCUCUGCUUAGACCUAUCUACGGUUUGUUUGUGUAAAACUAUGUAUGUUGUUAUGUCUCUGCUAAGACCUAUCUAAUUUGUUUGUGUGGAACUAUGUGUGCUCUUCUUUCUGUGUUAUGAACCUAUCAGAAUUUGUGUGGAACUAUGUGAUGUCCAAAAUUGUGUGAA
Aegilops tauschii subsp. strangulata is the source of this 1358-nucleotide long non-coding RNA. RefSeq lists it as uncharacterized. Lineage: Eukaryota; Viridiplantae; Streptophyta; Magnoliopsida; Poales; Poaceae. The record is from RefSeq and is a predicted model, not a curated record.